ACCCUAACCGGACGGAAGGGGACGGUCGUCCCAACGGGUGAGAUUCAUGACUGGGGGUG
Molecule: ribosomal RNA, 59 nt
Filed under: uncultured bacterium
Lineage: Bacteria
Description: partial 16S ribosomal RNA
Source: RNAcentral